GGUCCUGGGCUGUUGGCUUUGCAGUGCUGGCCUGUGGCCUCCCUUGACAUCGGCUUUGGAACCAGACUUCCCCACCCCUGCGUGGGAGGUGUGAGGGGCCAGAGACGGGAGGCAGGAAGUGAGUGCGGAUGGGCUGCCUGGACAGCUGUGCGGGGAACAGAGCACAUCUGUCUGGUGCUCAGGGUCCCAUGUCUCCAACAUUGAGAAGCCGCCCUGACCUCUCGCCUCCCCGUCCACACGGUCUUCCUCCUCGGAGAGCCCAAGCAUCCUGCACUGCAGCCAUGCAUCCCCUCAGAGUAACUCCAAGCAACUCUUCCCUCCCAAGCAUGAUCAAGGGCAAAGGAAUAAAAUGACAGCAUGCCGUGGGCUGAAUGUUUGCAUCCCCUCUAAAUUGCCACACGGGGAUAUAAGGAGAAGGUGGCUGUCCCCAGAUGCUGGAUUUGCCGGACUUGAUCUUGGACUUCCCAACAAGCCUCCAGAACUCUGAGAAACAAGUGUCUGUUUCUGAAGUCACUCAGUCUAUGGCAGUUGUUAUAGAAGCCCAACUAGAGGCACAGUUAUCUCCUGUGAGAGCUGAAAGAAGUGUGGAAAGUCACCUAGUCCAGCCCUUCCUCCGGUUGCUGCUUGAAUCCUGUCCCCAGUGUCCCCAACCAAGACUUGUUUACCCUGGGCUCAGGCUCCUCUGGGGAUGGAUGGGUUGGUGAUCAGUGGUCAGAUAGUAAAUGUGCCGCUCUCAUGGCUGGAGCAGUGUAUGCUGGGGCUGGGUGCCUGGGUUCAGAUCCUGCCCUGCCCAUCCCUGAUGAAUGACCCUUGACGACUUAACCCUUCUUUGCUUCUGUUUCCUCCUCAUCUGUAAAAUGGGCACAAUACGAGUGCAAACCUUACAGGGUUGUGUGAGACUGAGAUGAGGUAAUAUGUGUCAAGCAGUGCCUACCCUGCUAAGCUAACUAGGGGAAGUUCUUCUAUCUCCCUAGACUAACUGCAUGGUUGUUUCACCUGAAGACCCACGGAACAAGAUUAAAUUUUCUCCUAUGUGACUGCUUUCAACCAUUUCAUUCAUUCAUUGCUCAGAUUUCACUAGGUGGCUCCUUCAUGCCAGGUACAU
Molecule: long non-coding RNA, 1105 nt
Organism: Manis pentadactyla (Chinese pangolin)
Lineage: Eukaryota; Metazoa; Chordata; Mammalia; Pholidota; Manidae
Exons: 4
Source: RefSeq, a predicted model, not a curated record